RNAcentral lists this ribosomal RNA (525 nucleotides) under Triticum aestivum (bread wheat). RNAcentral's name for it is "partial small subunit ribosomal RNA". The record is from RNAcentral. Lineage: Eukaryota; Viridiplantae; Streptophyta; Magnoliopsida; Poales; Poaceae.
AUGCAGAACGCGCAGAGGCCGGUGGCGGGGCAUGGAGGUCGACGACGACGGGGAACGCGGCGGCGCAGCGGAUCCAGGAAGGCGAGAGGCGGGGUCAACGGAGGCGCAGCAGGGGCCAGGCGCGGCGAUAGCUUGCUGGCGAGGGGCGAGGCGGAUGCAGGCAAGCGAGGCAGGGGAACUUGGCACCGGUCGUCAUUGUCCCCGCACACAGAAACAAUGGAGACCGGUGAAGAGGGCUUGGGGAGGUCCGACCACGGAGACGAGCCAGCGAGGACGCGGAUUGGACGAGGCAGCGGCAGAACUUGGCGCGCGAGCGACGCUGGAAUGGAGCAGAGCUUUGGGCGGCUUGGAGCUCCCGGCGAUGAUGGUGAGUGUGUCAAGGCGGGCGAGGCGUGGAUGAAGACCGACUCCACAGCCGCGGGUCCAGGGAGGCACGGCUCCGACGGGCAGGGGCUGGAGACGAGGUACGGAAGGGCGGCUUCCAUGGCCUCCUUUUCGAACACGCAGAGCACGAGAGAGGGAUGA